Molecule: ribosomal RNA, 466 nt
Filed under: uncultured bacterium
Lineage: Bacteria
Description: partial 16S ribosomal RNA
Rfam family: Bacterial small subunit ribosomal RNA
Source: RNAcentral
GAUGAACGCUGGCGGCGUGCUUAACACAUGCAAGUCGAACGGAAAGGCUCCUGCUUGCAGGGGUACUCGAGUGGCGAACGGGUGAGUAACACGUGGGUGAUCUGCCCUGCACUUCGGGAUAAGCCUGGGAAACUGGGUCUAAUACCGGAUAGGACGAUGGUUUGGAUGCCAUUGUGGAAAGUUUUUUCGGUGUGGGAUGAGCUCGCGGCCUAUCAGCUUGUUGGUGGGGUAAUGGCCUACCAAGGCGUCGACGGGUAGCCGGCCUGAGAGGGUGUACGGCCACAUUGGGACUGAGAUACGGCCCAGACUCCUACGGGAGGCAGCAGUGGGGAAUAUUGCACAAUGGGCGCAAGCCUGGUGCAGCGACGCCGCGUGGGGGAUGACGGCCUUCGGGUUGUAAACUCCUUUCGCUAGGGACGAAGCGCAAGUGACGGUACCUGGAGAAGAAGCACCGGCUAACUACGUG